Molecule: ribosomal RNA, 497 nt
Filed under: uncultured bacterium
Lineage: Bacteria
Description: partial 16S ribosomal RNA
Rfam family: Bacterial small subunit ribosomal RNA
Source: RNAcentral
GAUGAACGCUGGCGGCGUGCCUAAUACAUGCAAGUCGGGCGAACGGACGAGAAUCUUGCUUCUCUGAUGUUAGCGGCGGACGGGUGAGUAACACGUGGAUAACCUACCUAUAAGACUGGGAUAACUUCGAGAAACCGGAGCUAAUACCGGAUAAUAUUUUGAACCGCAUGGUUCAAAAGUGACAGACGGUCUUGCUGUCACUUAUAGAUGGAUCCGCGCUGCAUUAGCUAGUUGGUAAGGUAACGGCUUACCAAGGCAACGAUGCAUAGCCGACCUGAGAGAGUGAUAGGCCACACUGGAACUGGGACACGGUCCAGACUCCUACGGGAGGCAGCAGUAGGCAAUCUUCCGCAACGGGCGAAAGCAUGACGGAGCAACGCCGCGUGAGUGAUGAAGGUCUUCGGAUCGUAAAACUCUGUUAUUAGGGAAGAACAUAUGUGUAAGUAACUGUGCACAUCUUGACGGUACCUAAUCAGAAAGCAACGGCUAACUACGUG